Geopyxis carbonaria is the source of this 96-nucleotide non-coding RNA. Lineage: Eukaryota; Fungi; Ascomycota; Pezizomycetes; Pezizales; Tarzettaceae. The record is from the annotation of a GenBank genome assembly.
GCGAUAAUAGCUCAGUUGGGAGAGCGUCAGACUGAAGAUCCUGAUCAAGGACUGCGGUAUAUCUGAAGGUCACCCGUUCAAUCCGGGUUUGUCGCA